GACGAACGCUGGCGGCGUGCUUAACACAUGCAAGUCGAACGGUGAAGCGCCUUCCUUUUUGGUGGGUGUGGAUGAGUGGCGAACGGGUGAGUAGCACGUGAGUAACCUGCCCCCUUCUUCUGGAUAACCGCAUGAAAGUGUGGCUAAUACGGGAUAUUCUGGGUCUGUCGCAUGAUGGGUCUGGGAAAGAUAUUGUUUCGGUGGGGGAUGGGCUCGCGGCCUAUCAGCUUGUUGGUGGGGUGAUGGCCUACCAAGGCGGUGACGGGUAGCCGGCCUGAGAGGGUGGACUGUCACACUGGGACUGAGACACGGCCCAGACUCCUGCGGGAGGCAGCAGUGGGGAAUAUUGCACAAUGGGCGCAAGCCUGAUGCAGCGACGCCGCGUGAGGGAUGGAGGCCUUCGGGUUGUGAACCUCUUUCGCCAGUGAAGCAGGCCUGCCUCGUUUGUGGGUGGGUUGACGGUAGCUGGAUAAGAAGCGCCGGCUAACUACGUG
RNAcentral lists this ribosomal RNA (494 nucleotides) under uncultured bacterium. Its description in RNAcentral is "partial 16S ribosomal RNA". It matches the Rfam family "Bacterial small subunit ribosomal RNA", at positions 28 to 507 of the family's 1533-position model. The record is from RNAcentral.